Molecule: non-coding RNA, 67 nt
Organism: Potamilus streckersoni
Lineage: Eukaryota; Metazoa; Mollusca; Bivalvia; Unionida; Unionidae
Source: the annotation of a GenBank genome assembly
GUGGCCGAAUGGUUUGAGCGUCCGCCUCGAAUGUGGAAGGUGGUGGGUUCAAACCCCCACCAAGUCA